GGGGGCUUAGCUCAGCGGCAUAAGCGCCUGCCUUGAAAGCAGGCAGUUGUGAGUUCAAUCCCCA
Molecule: transfer RNA, 64 nt
Filed under: Cavia porcellus (domestic guinea pig)
Lineage: Eukaryota; Metazoa; Chordata; Mammalia; Rodentia; Caviidae
Rfam family: tRNA
About the family: Transfer RNA (tRNA) molecules are approximately 80 nucleotides in length.
Source: Rfam by way of RNAcentral